This 499-nucleotide long non-coding RNA is filed under the name Malus domestica (apple). Its description in RNAcentral is "long non-coding RNA (MDOM_LNC018028)". The record is from RNAcentral. Lineage: Eukaryota; Viridiplantae; Streptophyta; Magnoliopsida; Rosales; Rosaceae.
AUCUCAUUUAAUUUCAUCCGUUUGAUCUAAGAUCAACAGUCCACGUUAUUAGGCUUUGUAAAUUAAAAAAAAAAAACAGUUUAAAAAUCUAAAAUGUUACCGUUGUGACACAUGGCACAAUCUGGAGUGUUGGAAUUUAAAUUUUUUUAAAAUCCAACGGCAAAGAUUAAUUAGGUGAAUAAAAAUUUAAAAAAAAUUAUGAAAAAUUAUAAAAAAUUUUGAUUUUACUUUUCUAUAAAUACCUUCUCAUUAUCUUCUACCCUACACCACAAUUUCAUAUUUUCUCAACUACUUUCAACCACAUUCCUAUCUUUCUCUCAAAGUUUCAAUCCAAUUUUUUUCCAACAAAAUGACUACUCAAGCAGGUACGAAUUGGACGCUUCUUGAAGAUGUUGUGUUGUGUACUAGUUGGGUUCAAGUUACUCAUAAUUCGAUUACGGGUAAUGAGAUGCAGUUGUGAGAAAUGUGGAGUCUUAUUCAUACCAAUUAUCUUGAGAAA